This is a long non-coding RNA of Cucumis sativus (cucumber), 508 nucleotides long. RefSeq lists it as uncharacterized. The record is from RefSeq and is a predicted model, not a curated record. Lineage: Eukaryota; Viridiplantae; Streptophyta; Magnoliopsida; Cucurbitales; Cucurbitaceae. The transcript is spliced from 2 exons.
UCAAUCAUUAGGGUCCAAAAUGGCCCAAGUGGCCCAUCGAAGUUCAAGCCGACUUUAAAAUUAGGGUUUUACCACUAUAUAAAUAAAUCCGAAGCCCUACCUUCCUGAACGUCGUCGAUCUCGUCACUCGCCUCGUUCGCCACACCAUUGUUCUUCUUUGGUGAUUCGGUUAGCAGUUCUUCAACAUGAGGGCUAAGUGGAAGAAGAAGAGAAUGAGGAGAUUGAAGAGGAAGCGCCGAAAGAUGAGGCAGAGAUCCAAGUAGUUUGUGUCUUCUUUAAAUAAAAAAGACAAUCGUUCCUUUAGUUUCUACUGAUCUAGGACGAGUAAUAGUUCAUUUUCUUGUGUUUUUGUUGGAUUUUUAUCGAUUUCUUUUAGUUUCGAUGAGCAAUUUUGUUGAACUUACUUCCCUCUGGGAUCUACAUUAUUGAAUUCACUUUCUGGAGUUUCUGAAAUAUCAGUUGAUGAUAUGUUGUUUGUCACCAUUAACUUAAAAACUUGAUAUUUUUU